RNAcentral lists this ribosomal RNA (499 nucleotides) under uncultured bacterium. RNAcentral's name for it is "partial 16S ribosomal RNA". It matches the Rfam family "Bacterial small subunit ribosomal RNA", at positions 28 to 507 of the family's 1533-position model. The record is from RNAcentral.
GACGAACGCUGGCGGCGUGCCUAAUACAUGCAAGUCGAGCGAAGUUUUUCUGGUGCUUGCACUAGAAAAACUUAGCGGCGAACGGGUGAGUAACACGUAAAGAACCUGCCUCAUAGACUGGGACAACUAUUGGAAACGAUAGCUAAUACCGGAUAACAGUAUUUCUCGCAUGAGAGAUAUUUAAAAGUUGGUUAUGCUAACACUAUGAGAUGGCUUUGCGGUGCAUUAGCUAGUUGGUGGGGUAAAGGCCCACCAAGGCGACGAUGCAUAGCCGACCUGAGAGGGUGAUCGGCCACACUGGGACUGAGACACGGCCCAGACUCCUACGGGAGGCAGCAGUAGGGAAUCUUCCGCAAUGGGCGAAAGCCUGACGGAGCAACGCCGCGUGAGUGAAGAAGGAUUUCGGUUCGUAAAGCUCUGUUGUUAGGGAAGAAUGGAUAUGUAGUAACUAUACAUGUAAGAGACGGUACCUAACCAGAAAGCCACGGCUAUCUACGUG